Molecule: long non-coding RNA, 537 nt
Organism: Sorex araneus (European shrew)
Lineage: Eukaryota; Metazoa; Chordata; Mammalia; Eulipotyphla; Soricidae
Exons: 3
Source: RefSeq, a predicted model, not a curated record
AAUGUCAGGCUCGGUCCUGUCAGCCCCGUGCACGGCAGGUGCUCUCCCAGUGCACUGCCCUCGGCACUGGCCGGGGACUCAGGAGUGUGUGGCUGACCGUUUGAUUUUCCCGGGUUCCUGCGCCUGCGGUAGGUUUUGGGAUCCUGGGAGACGCGGAGCUGAAGAGACUCUGGCAGAAGGGGGUCUAGCAUCCGGGCUGUGUUGGACCAGAGAGGUCCGUGCAACCAAACGUAGCAGGUUUCAGAGCAAUCCCUCAUUGACGGAGGUAUUUCUCCAGGACAAGAGGCUGCCCUUUAUGUUCUGGUGAUUCCACGGAGCCACCUGCUGAUCCUUGGGAAUUACAGAAGCUGCAGACAAUGGUGACAUGCCACUGACACACUGUUCCAGGUGGGAGGAGAACAAUGUGGUGACAUGAUGCAGUAACAGGCACGUACCGGUUUCUAGGGUCUCUGUUUCUUGAGUUUCAGGAAGGAGUUCUGGGAUGUAAUUCCUGGCCUGAGUGCUCCGACUCUUUGCUAUUUGAGGCUACUUUGUCCU